Molecule: ribosomal RNA, 254 nt
Filed under: uncultured bacterium
Lineage: Bacteria
Description: partial 16S ribosomal RNA
Rfam family: Bacterial small subunit ribosomal RNA
Source: RNAcentral
GACAGAGGGUGCAAACGUUGCUCGGAAUCAUUGGGCGUAAAGCGCGUGUAGGCGGCUUGUUACGUCGGGUGUGAAAGCCCGGGGCUCAACCCCGGCAGUGCACCCGAAACGGGGAAGCUAGAGUACUGGAGAGGCGAGUGGAAUUCCCGGUGUAGAGGUGAAAUUCGUAGAUAUCGGGAGGAACACCGGUGGCGAAGGCGACUCGCUGGCCAGGUUACUGACGCUGAGACGCGAAAGCGUGGGGAGCAAACAGG